ACCCAUAUAUCUUUAUAUUUUUUUAGCAAAUGCUCGUUCGGUUUUAGGUUGGGGUGACCAUGGAGUAAAAAAUAACCUCCACGAAAAAAGGCAUAAAACCCUUAUCAAAGAGCCACAUCUCUAUGAAUUAGUAAACUAAUUUCUGAUGAUCCGAUAUUCGAUCAACGAACCAAGUUACCCUGGGGAUAACAGCGCAAUCCGCCUUAAGAGCCCCUAUCGACAGGCGGGUUUACGACCUCGAUGUUGGAUCAGGGUAUCCCAGUGGUGCAACAGCUACUAAAGGUUCGUUUGUUCAACGAUUAA
RNAcentral lists this ribosomal RNA (303 nucleotides) under Boophis picturatus. Its description in RNAcentral is "partial 16S ribosomal RNA". It matches the Rfam family "Bacterial large subunit ribosomal RNA", at positions 2219 to 2591 of the family's 2925-position model. The record is from RNAcentral. Lineage: Eukaryota; Metazoa; Chordata; Amphibia; Anura; Mantellidae.